GUGCCAGCCGCCGCGGUAAGACGAACCGUGCGAACGUUGUUCGGAAUCACUGGGCUUAAAGGGCGCGUAGGCGGACCGCCAAGUCCGAGGUGAAAUCCUCCAGCUCAACUGGAGAACUGCCUCGGAUACUGGAGGUCUCGAGGGAGGUAGGGGCAAGCGGAACUGUGGGUGGAGCGGUGAAAUGCGUUGAUAUCCACAGGAACUCCGGUGGCGAAGGCGGCUUGCUGGACCUUUUCUGACGCUGAGGCGCGAAAGCCAGGGGAGCAAACGGGAUUAGAAACCCGUGUAGUCC
This 292-nucleotide ribosomal RNA is filed under the name uncultured bacterium. RNAcentral's name for it is "partial 16S ribosomal RNA". It matches the Rfam family "Bacterial small subunit ribosomal RNA", at positions 505 to 796 of the family's 1533-position model. The record is from RNAcentral.